Molecule: ribosomal RNA, 444 nt
Filed under: uncultured bacterium
Lineage: Bacteria
Description: bacterial SSU rRNA
Rfam family: Bacterial small subunit ribosomal RNA
Source: RNAcentral
UCCUACGGGAGGCAGCAGUGGGGAAUAUUGGACAAUGGACCACAAGUCUGAUCCAGCAAUUCUGUGUGCACGAUGACGUUUUUCGGAAUGUAAAGUGCUUUCAGUCGGGAAGAAGUCAGUGACGGUACCGACAGAAGAAGCGACGGCUAAAUACGUGCCAGCAGCCGCGGUAAUACGUAUGUCGCAAGCGUUAUCCGGAUUUAUUGGGCGUAAAGCGCGUCUAGGCGGCAAGGAAAGUCUGAUGUGAAAAUGCGGAGCUCAACUCCGUAUGGCGUUGGAAACUGCCUUACUAGAGUACUGGAGAGGUAGGCGGAACUACAAGUGUAGAGGUGAAAUUCGUAGAUAUUUGUAGGAAUGCCGAUGGGGAAGCCAGCCUACUGGACAGAUACUGACGCUAAAGCGCGAAAGCGUGGGUAGCAAACAGGAUUAGAUACCCUGUAGUCC